This 546-nucleotide ribosomal RNA is filed under the name Triticum aestivum (bread wheat). RNAcentral's name for it is "partial small subunit ribosomal RNA". The record is from RNAcentral. Lineage: Eukaryota; Viridiplantae; Streptophyta; Magnoliopsida; Poales; Poaceae.
AUGUGCUUUCUGAACUCUGUGUGGGCUGUUCGUCGUCCUGGAGAGCUCCUCACUUCUCCAGACAACCUCACUGUUCAUGAGGUCAAGCUCCUUAAGAAGAAGAAGCAUGCCGAGCCUCGCUUCCCUGAACAUGCUCCUGAAGAUGUCGAUGCUAUUUCUGACGAUGAGGACUUUGAGCUGGAGCCAGGGGCCAAGCCUUCGUGGGUGGCCAAACUUACUGCCAAGGUAAAUAAGACCUUUUGUCUCCAGGCUGACAUCCAGAAGAAGAUGUAUGAGGCACAUGUCAUUGAGAAGCUCGCACGACGUCGCCAAAUUACAAUGAUGAAGCACCUCAACAUGCAGGUUCAGAGUGGCUCUGAGAAGAGCAUCACCCCAGAGGAGCGUUGGAUCUCUACCCAUAACACCUGGACUGAUGAUGAAGCCCCUCCCCAGCCAUCAUCGUUUGCAGCAGCUGACAAUGCCAUGGAAGUAUCUGAUCACGACGACGAUGAUGACUCUGAUGAUGAAGAUCCAGAUGCGACUGAGGAGUCAGAGGAGGACGCCUGA